This 372-nucleotide long non-coding RNA is filed under the name Mytilus galloprovincialis (Mediterranean mussel). The record is from RNAcentral. Lineage: Eukaryota; Metazoa; Mollusca; Bivalvia; Mytilida; Mytilidae.
AAGAUUUGUUGCCACUUAUUCAUUAUUUCAAAAAGUCCAUAAAAAACAAUCAAAUCUUUCUUUAAACAAGUAAUGAUUUAUUAUUGUAAUUGGUACAUCAAAAGAUUGGAUUUACAUGACUUAUUCCACUUCACUUUUGUUUGUGAAAAGAUUUAUGGUUCAAUGCCAUUGGGUCUGAUGAUUUUAUAAUACUACACCAACUAGUUUUCUUAUAAAAAUAAAAGUCUGUCUGUCUGUUCUGCAUUAGUUUUAUGUCGUCAUAAAGUUUAGAUUGUCUCAACUGAUUUCCGUUAAGUUUUAUGCACAGUCAUAGAUAUUUAUAAAACAAAGAUCCUUGUUGAAAAAAAAAAACAUUGAUUAAAAAAACGGCAG